CUACGGGUCGCACCAGUGGGGAAUUUUGGACAAUGGGCGCAAGCCUGAUCCAGCCAUUCCGCGUGCAGGAUGAAGGCCUUCGGGUUGUAAACUGCUUUUGUACGGAACGAAAAGGCUCUGGUUAAUACCUGGAGUUUAUGACGGUACCGUAAGAAUAAGCACCGGCUAACUACGUGCCAGCAGCCGCGGUAAUACGUAGGGUGCAAGCGUUAAUCGGAAUUACUGGGCGUAAAGCGUGCGCAGGCGGUUUUGUAAGACAGAGGUGAAAUCCCCGGGCUCAACCUGGGAACUGCCUUUGUGACUGGAAAGCUGGAGUACGGGAGAGGGGAGUGGAAUUCCGCGUGUAGCAGUGAAAUGCGUAGAUAUGCGGAGGAACACCGAUGGCGAAGGCAAUCCCCUGGGCCUGUACUGACGCUCAUGCACGAAAGCGUGGGGAGCAAACAGGAUUAGAUACCCUCGUAGUC
RNAcentral lists this ribosomal RNA (464 nucleotides) under uncultured bacterium. RNAcentral describes it as "partial 16S ribosomal RNA". It matches the Rfam family "Bacterial small subunit ribosomal RNA", at positions 339 to 795 of the family's 1533-position model. The record is from RNAcentral.